Cavia porcellus (domestic guinea pig) is the source of this 576-nucleotide long non-coding RNA. RefSeq lists it as uncharacterized. Lineage: Eukaryota; Metazoa; Chordata; Mammalia; Rodentia; Caviidae. The record is from RefSeq and is a predicted model, not a curated record. The transcript is spliced from 2 exons.
UAUAAAAUAUAUAGGUUCCCUAUGACUUUUUCUAAGUUACUACAAAUAUGAAGUAAUUUCAGAAAAUAGCAUUCUAUCAUCUAUAAAAUAUAUAGAUUGCCUAUCACUUUUUCUGAGUUUAGUAGGAGGAUUAAAUGAGAUAUUAUUUUUGAUCUUUAUUAGUUUCAGUAUCAUCUUCAAGAAAUACACUACUUAGAAUUCAUUGCAGUGCCUGAGGUGCAGGUGUUUAGUAAAAAUUAUUAAUAUGAACUUGCUUUGGCCAUAAGAUUCUCUUUUUUUUUUGUACCAGGGAUCAAACUCAUGAUGUCCGGCUUGCCAGGCACAUGCUUAUGCUGCUAAGCUAAAUCUCCAGUCCAAGAUCCUGCAUGAAUGGAAUUCAAAUACAUGGUUAAUGCAAGAUACUUACAAUUACCUGACAGAACUCUGUGGUGUCUGUUUCCCUGUCACUGAUAAACUGCUGAUGAUCAUUCAUAUUACACCAGUUGGCAGCCCGAUACUCUGAUAACUUUACUGUCUUUCAUCUGACACUUUUAUAAUGUUUAUUGUUUUGACUAUUAAAAGGAAUCUUCAAAUGAA